Molecule: long non-coding RNA, 484 nt
Filed under: Vigna radiata
Lineage: Eukaryota; Viridiplantae; Streptophyta; Magnoliopsida; Fabales; Fabaceae
Description: long non-coding RNA (VRAD_LNC004997)
Source: RNAcentral
GUUAAGUGAAUGGAGCUUGGUGAAGGGUACUCAUGAGUGGUUAAAAUGAANUUACAUAAAAGUAUGGAAAGUGGUUUGACUUUUCUUUUAUUUCGUUGAUUUGCCAUGAUUGUGUGCUAUUGUUGUUUUCAGAAUGUUUAAUACUUUACGGGCUUGUAGUUUGGUUGGGUGAGUAUGAUAUUGUUUAUUUAUGGUGAAAUUGAGUUUAUGUUUGUGAGGCCCGGUGAAGCUCCUGGAAGUGUGGUGGAAGUAGCACUGGUACUUNCCCGGUGAAGCUCUNUNAGAAUAGAGUGGUGGGGGUGUAUACUUGUCCGGUGAAGCCCAAGAGGGUGGUGGAAAGUAUAGACUUGCCGGGGAAGCUCUAAGAGAGUGGUGGGAAGUGGUGUACUUGCCGGUGAAGCCUUCUAAAGAGUGGUGGGAAGUGUGAUUAUGUAACAGUUAGGUAAAGUGUACCAGCCCGGUGAAGCUCUUUAAUAGAGUGGUG